GUCACUUUUCCAGCCCUAAAAUCAGUGAAAUCGACUAAAUCUAAUCAAUGACAUAUUUAUUUUUCUUCCUUUGAUCAAAUGAAGCUGAAGAUUAGUUCAACCAAAAAUAGAAAUGUAGAGAAAAAAUACCCAGUAUUAGUGAAGAAUGACUAAACUCUGUCUCAAUCCAAGCAGGCUGAUCUUGAAACAAGGCUUACUGAAUCUGAAAACAAGAUUCCUUUGGAUGAGACUAGAACUGAUUUGAACAGUUAUUUUUCUCAUGUGAAGAUUUCCUGACUAUUGGAGACAAACAGAAGAGAAGGUUGUUGGAGAGAAGAUUACAGUGGAAACUUAAAGACUCUGAAAACAGGAGAAAUUCUCCAACACUUCUGGAUCUACGCUUGUUUUCUUGGUAAGAACUGAAUCGUUCUAAUAUCAUAAAUAAACCUCCUUUUCUCUCGCAGUCUUUAGUCUUUACAUAUUUAGCUCUUAUAUUCUGAUGCUAAUGAAGGCGGUUUAUGGCGGCGGUGGCGAUGGCGGUGGGGGAAUCAGAGUCUGUUUGUGUUUGUGAGCUUCUUCUUCUUCUUCUUCUCCAUUCUUCCUCUUUUCUUUCUCUCCUCUCCAAAUUACAGCUAUUAGGAACAGACGGGCGCCAGCCAAACACGCCGCUCCGCGUGAGUUACACACUCACACACACACACACACACACACACACACACACACUCACACACAGAGACGCACAAAAAGACGCGGAGACGAGAAGAUGUCCACCUCAACCGUGAGUUACACACUCACACACACACACACACACACACACACACACACACACUCACACACACACACACUCACACACACUCGGGGUUCGCCUUUAGCGUCUCCGAUGCUCGCUUUCAACGCCCGCCGUUGGCAGAAUUGGGUUUGACAGCUCGGGUCCAGGCCUGUGAUUGGCCGGCCUCCAGGGACCCUGUCAGAGGAGAGGUGUCGACCGCCAAAGCGUCAGGACAGGAAAACAAGGCAGGAAGUGGAGAGGAGGCGAGGAGGAACCCGGCUCUGAUUUCAUCACUAACAGAUUAACAGAAACGGCGAAAAGAACGCAGA
Molecule: non-coding RNA, 1077 nt
Organism: Xyrichtys novacula (pearly razorfish)
Lineage: Eukaryota; Metazoa; Chordata; Actinopteri; Labriformes; Labridae
Source: the annotation of a GenBank genome assembly